UCCUACGGGACGCAGCAGUGAGGAAUAUUGGGCAAUGCUCGCAAGAGUGACCCAGCAACGCCGCGUGGAGGAUGAAUGCCGUAAGGUUGUAAACUCCUGUGAGAAGGGACGAAAGCGCAGGUUUGAAGCCUGCUUUGACUGUACCUUCAGAGGAAACCCCGGCUAACUACGUGCCAGCAGCCGCGGUAAUACGUAGGGGGUAAGCGUUGUCCGGAUUUACUGGGUGUAAAGGGCGCGUAGGCGGGCCCGUAAGUCAGAGGUGAAAUCCUACAGCUUAACUGUAGAGCUGCCUUUGAUACUGCGGGUCUUGAGUUCAGAAGAGAGAGAUGGAAUUCCAGGUGUAGUGGUGAAAUACGUAGAUAUCUGGAAGAACACCAGUGGCGAAGGCGAUCUCUUGGUCUGUAACUGACGCUGAGGCGCGAAAGCGUGGGUAGCAAACAGGAUUAGAAACCCGUGUAGUCCG
This 463-nucleotide ribosomal RNA is filed under the name uncultured bacterium. RNAcentral describes it as "bacterial SSU rRNA". It matches the Rfam family "Bacterial small subunit ribosomal RNA", at positions 337 to 797 of the family's 1533-position model. The record is from RNAcentral.